This 253-nucleotide ribosomal RNA is filed under the name uncultured bacterium. RNAcentral describes it as "partial 16S ribosomal RNA". It matches the Rfam family "Bacterial small subunit ribosomal RNA", at positions 524 to 776 of the family's 1533-position model. The record is from RNAcentral.
UACGGAGGGUCCAAGCGUUAUCCGGAUUCAUUGGGUUUAAAGGGUCCGUAGGCGGGAAAAUAAGUCAGUGGUGAAAUCCUAUCGCUUAACGAUAGAACUGCCAUUGAAACUGUUUUUCUUGAAUGUAGAUGAAGUGGGCGGAAUGUGUCAUGUAGCGGUGAAAUGCAUAGAUAUGACACAGAACACCGAUUGCGAAGGCAGCUCACUAAACUAUUAUUGACGCUGAUGGACGAAAGCGUGGGGAGCAAACAGG